RNAcentral lists this ribosomal RNA (343 nucleotides) under Crucinotacris decisa. RNAcentral describes it as "partial 12S ribosomal RNA". Lineage: Eukaryota; Metazoa; Arthropoda; Insecta; Orthoptera; Acrididae. The record is from RNAcentral.
GUAAUUUUUUUGCCUGGGUACUAUUAGUUAAGAUCUUAAAACCCAAAGAAUUUGGCGGUACCUCAAUUCCUUUCAGAGGAACCUACCCCGUAAUUGAUAAUACACGAUUAACUUUACUUAAUUUAUUUGUUUGUAUAUCUCCGUUAUCAGAAAAUCUUUUUGGAGUUAUAAUUUUCUUGAUUCAUUAUUAUGAAAUAUUUCAGGUCAAGGUGCAGCUUAUAAUUAAGAGGAGGUGGGUUACAAUAAAUUUUUGUUUAUUAUGGAUUUAUUAUUUAAAUGAUAUUAAUGAAGGUGGAUUUGAUAGUAAUUUAGUUUAGUAAUCUAAUAUAAUACAACACCAUAC